GAGCGUCAUCGACGCCUACCCUUUCAUCUCCAUGGACACCGAGUUCCCGGGCCUCAUCUUCCGCCCGGCCGUGGACACCACGAGGCCAUACAGCAGCCAACUCCGGCCGUCCGAUCACUACAGGGUCCUCAAAUCAAACGUCGACGCCCUCAGCCUCAUCCAGGUGGGCCUCACCCUCUCCGACUCCCGCGGCAAUCUCCCUGACCUCGGCGGCUCCCCCACGCGCUUCAUCUGGGAGUUCAACUUCAGCGACUUCGACGUUGCGCGUGACCCCCACGCUCCCGACUCCAUCGCCCUCCUCCGCCGCCAGGGCAUCGACUUCGACCGCAACCGGUCCGAAGGGGUCGACUCUGCCCGGUUCGCCGCGCUGAUGAUGUCAUCGG
This 383-nucleotide long non-coding RNA is filed under the name Prunus persica (peach). RNAcentral describes it as "long non-coding RNA (PPER_LNC005916)". The record is from RNAcentral. Lineage: Eukaryota; Viridiplantae; Streptophyta; Magnoliopsida; Rosales; Rosaceae.